This is a long non-coding RNA of Brassica napus (rape), 1626 nucleotides long. RefSeq lists it as uncharacterized. The transcript has 2 exons. The record is from RefSeq and is a predicted model, not a curated record. NCBI's taxonomy places the organism in Eukaryota, Viridiplantae, Streptophyta, Magnoliopsida, Brassicales, Brassicaceae.
GCUAAUGUAUCCUGAUUCUUAGAGGCUCUUUAACUUUAUGUUGUUCGAUCUUACUAUUGAUCUCCGGAUAUAUGUUUCUCAUUUCAUAAAUUUUAAAAUAAGUUUAAAUAAGUUGGAAACAUACAUAGCGCUAUAUUUUUGUUUAUUUUUGGGAUAAAAUAUAUAUUUUUAAUUGUUUUUGCUAGCUAGAAACGCAUAAGUUCUGAUUGGCUUUCGUGCUAGAGCGUCGAAGAGACAGUACACAAAAACUUUUGCAGUGGUUGUGUCAGUUUCUCAGUGAUGACCAUUACCAAGCAGCUCACACAUUAUAUGAAGAAAAAACAGCCUAUCAAGUGGAAGAAAUGAUGAGACAUCAUUUGCAAGAAAAUUCAAAAUUUCCAAGAAUUUGAAAUAUAUCUGUAUUUUGUAAAUGUUGCGUAUCCGACCGUAAAUAUUUAAAAGUUGGAAUACAAUUUUUUUUUUUUUGUGCAACAAGUUGGAAUACAAUAUGGACAAAGAUAUGUCGACAGUAGGUCCUGCUUUGUAUCCCUACAUUCAUAACGUCAUGACUUUGACCCGAAACAAAACAAUGCAUCGAGAUGCAAGUAAUGAUGAUAUCUUAUUGGUUUAACUAAUUAGUCUAUAUGAUUUGUAAUCACAUCGUUGACGAGGCUUGUCAAAAAAAAUCCCACAUAAACGUAAGACCACCAUUAACGCGAGAUCUUAGGAGAGGUGCUUAGAUUAUUUUGUAUGUAAAGAAAAAGAAAAAUGACAAUUAUCUGAAGCAGCGACGCUUAAUUAGGAGAAGGAAGCGCCGGGGCUUAAGGGACACGUGUUACAAUUAGAGAGAGUUUGGUCUGAAACUCCUUUCUCUCUCUCAACGAGCAAAGAGAUGAUUCACUACUCCUCUUCUUCUUCUCGGUUGAUCUCCUCCUCAGCAACACCAAAGCGUCUCUCUUUUCUUCUUCUCCAUAUUCUUUAUGUUUCAUUCUUUCUUAAAUCGAAAAACCCUUCAAUUAUAAUUGGAUCUGUUCUUCAAGAAGAGGAUAAAAGUCUGUAUCUUUUCGCAGUGAAUCCUUCUUCAGCAACAGGGUCUUGGAGUUUUCUACGAAAUUUGAUUUGGGUUUUCGUUUUUUAGGUUGAAUUGGCAAAAAGGGCCCAUCUUGUGUUCGAUGAUAUUCCCCAGAGAGAAAAGGCGAAGACUUUUUUGUAUUUGGGAUUUUUGUGUUGUUUUGUGGGAGGGAAUAGAGAGAGAUGGCAGGUGAAGAUUGGAUAGAGCUCAAGUUUAAAUUCACUGAUGGCCUAAAGACUCAGAAAACAUUCCUAAGACUGUAAAUGAUGUGAAGCUCAUCAAUGCCGGGAAGAUACUAGACAACAAUAGGACACUGGCUGAAUCAACGCUUCCCGUUGGCGAACUUCCUGGAAUGGUCAUCACUAUGCAUGUUGUUCUUCGCCCUCCUACUUUAGACAAAAAGAGCCGUAAAUGUUUCUUUGCCUUCCUCCUAUGCUAAUAUAAAAGCAGGCUUCCUUUGAUUCUCUAGUUGCGUGUGAUUAUGGUAUUCAGAUUCCAAAUUUCCAUGUUUUGCAAAUGGUUUUAUACAUAUAUUCCUAUAAAUUUUAUCUUAAAUAAAACAAUGCUUAAUUUUU